This 116-nucleotide non-coding RNA is filed under the name bovine gut metagenome. RNAcentral's name for it is "SAM riboswitch (S box leader)". It matches the Rfam family "SAM riboswitch aptamer (S box leader)". From Rfam's summary of the family: The SAM riboswitch is found upstream of a number of genes which code for proteins involved in methionine or cysteine biosynthesis in Gram-positive bacteria. The SAM riboswitch acts at the level of transcription termination control. The record is from RNAcentral.
CUUAUCACGAGUGGCGGAGGGAUGGGCCCGAUGAAACCACGGCAACCGGAGCGAAAGCCCAAGGUGCCAAAUCCCGCAGCGCUGCACACCCGCAUGGCGGAGCGCUGACAGAUAAG